Molecule: unclassified non-coding RNA, 408 nt
Filed under: soil metagenome
Description: partial contains 5.8S ribosomal RNA, internal transcribed spacer 2, and large subunit ribosomal RNA
Rfam family: 5.8S ribosomal RNA (bases 1-120)
Source: RNAcentral
GAUGAAGAACGUAGCGAAAUGCGAUAAGUAAUGUGAAUUGCAGAAUUCAGUGAAUCAUCGAAUCUUUGAACGCACCUUGCGCUCCUUGGCAUUCCGAGGAGCAUGCCUGUUUGAGUGUCAUUAAAUUCUCAAGACCUGUCUGCUUUUUUGAUAGGUAUUGGAUUUUGGGGGUUGCAGGCUGUUUCAAAUAAAUAGCCUUGCUCUCCUUGAAUGUAUUAGUGGAGAAAAGCCAUUGAACUCCAUUGGUGUGAUAAAACCUAUCAAUGCCAGGAGCAAUAUUACUACUUCUCUCUGCUGUCUAACUGUGACUGUCUGUAUUAAUUAGUAUGGAUGGGGACAACUUGACCAACUUGACCUCAAAUCAGGUAGGACUACCCGCUGAACUUAAGCAUAUCAAUAAGCGAAGGA